This 253-nucleotide ribosomal RNA is filed under the name uncultured bacterium. Its description in RNAcentral is "partial 16S ribosomal RNA". It matches the Rfam family "Bacterial small subunit ribosomal RNA", at positions 524 to 776 of the family's 1533-position model. The record is from RNAcentral.
UACGAAGGGGGCUAGCGUUGUUCGGCAUUACUGGGCGUAAAGCGCACGUAGGCGGAUAUUUAAGUCAGGGGUGAAAUCCCGGGGCUCAACCCCGGAACUGCCUUUGAUACUGGGUAUCUCGAGUCCGAGAGAGGUGAGUGGAAUUCCGAGUGUAGAGGUGAAAUUCGUAGAUAUUCGGAGGAACACCAGUGGCGAAGGCGGCUCACUGGCUCGGUACUGACGCUGAGGUGCGAAAGCGUGGGGAGCAAACAGG